GCCAUCAGUCAGGAUAUGGCCCAGAAGUUAAUUGAUAGCAUGCCAGAGCUAGUUAUGAUUCCUGUAAUACAGAUCGUAUGACUGUCACUUUUCUCCAGUCUACAGUAUUUUUUUCCAAGCUUACUGUAAUUUUAAGGUCAAUAUUCCCUAUACUUACGCAAGGGGAGAUGGGUAGUGGAGUCCACAGCAGUGUUGGCAGUAGAAAGGGAAGAGAGAAAUGCCAAGCUGCAGUUGGCUGUGAAAUUAAUAAAUACAGAGAGAGAGGGAGAGUCAGAAAGGUGUUGGUAUAAGUGAGAGAACCGAUCACCCCAUCAGUCAUCUGACAUGAGGUACUUUUAUAACUUGUGUUGCUGCCUGCUCAGCUCGUCAAUCUGUUUUCUCUCAUCCAGCGGUAAGUGCAGACCGUUCGUAUUGGGUUAAUCAAAACCUAACUUAUACAUUAGAAAUAUUUUGAAAAUAACUGGUAAAAAAUAAAUGAUUUUAUCCUUCCACGUGCUUGUUCUACGUGUAAGAUGUAGAACUCAUAAAACCUGUUUGUUUGGAAGGGUUGGGUGUUUGUUAAAAAAUGGUGUUGUGAUUCUUAUUGAUUAUACCGACUCAAUAAAAAUCAAUUGUUGACAAAAAAUAAAACCUUAUACCAUGGUAAGAAUGAGUGAAUAAUGAUUGAGAGAUGUGUGUGUUAUAAGGAUCUGUGCCUAAUAUGAGUACAUUACAUUGGAUUUUAUGCGUACCCUUGUCAUUUGAUGUUUCACUAAUAUGUUGUUCUCUCUCUCUCCACAGGUAUAAGCGACACGUUGGUGGUGAUCCAGUCUCCUCAUAAUGUAACGGUAACAGAGGGGGACACUGUUCAGAUCCAGUGCUGCUGGAAUACAAAUGUGUCAAGAGCGACAGUUCAUUGGCAUAAAGAAGGACACAGCGAGAUAAAAUAUAAUGGUUUACUGGUCAAAAACGGUCAGUGUCAUGACAGGGCAUCUCAACAGACUGUAGCCUGUAACUGCUCACAUUGGACCAUCUCAAACCUCACUAGAAAUGACAUGGGAACUUACAUCUGUAAAGUUACUAUAGAGAUACCAUCUCUUAUUGAAUCUGUGGGGAAUGGGACACAGAUAACAGUUACAGCCAGAGAGAAUAAAAGCAAAGUGGUUAUUGAGACCCCGGAGGACAUAGCAGUCCCCUACACCUUGAGAUGUCUCCCAGUCAUUAUACUGGUGGCCAUAUUCUGUUACUAUAGCUACCAGUGGAAGAAAAGUCAAUCUGUAGCUAAGAGACCAAGAGACUGACACGACGCUGACUUCCUGUUGAUCAUCAUGGACCUCCACCAUGUCACCUCUCUACAGGGACACCUGCAGAAUACCACAACAGAGUUACUCAUCACUGUUAGUUCACCACUGAUGGAGUGAUGCUUAGUAACUACCGUAGUUAGGAGCUUUAGCUUAAACAUUUCAUUUGUGUGUGAAUUGUUCAAUUGUUCACACUAUGUGCAUGUAGUAGUUGAUGGUUAUAAUUUA
Salvelinus namaycush (lake trout) is the source of this 1508-nucleotide long non-coding RNA. RefSeq lists it as uncharacterized. The transcript is spliced from 3 exons. The record is from RefSeq and is a predicted model, not a curated record. NCBI's taxonomy places the organism in Eukaryota, Metazoa, Chordata, Actinopteri, Salmoniformes, Salmonidae.